This 253-nucleotide ribosomal RNA is filed under the name uncultured bacterium. RNAcentral's name for it is "partial 16S ribosomal RNA". It matches the Rfam family "Bacterial small subunit ribosomal RNA", at positions 524 to 776 of the family's 1533-position model. The record is from RNAcentral.
UACAGAGGUCCCAAGCGUUGUUCGGAUGCACUGGGCGUAAAGGGUGCGUAGGCGGUCGGGUAAGUCUGAUGUGAAAUCUCACAGCUUAACUGUGAAACUGCAUUGGAUACUAUCCGGCUAGAGGAAUGGAGGGGAGACUGGAAUACUUGGUGUAGCAGUGAAAUGCGUAGAUAUCAAGUGGAACACCAGUGGCGAAGGCGAGUCCCUGGACAUUUCCUGACGCUGAGGCACGAAAUCCAGGGGAGCAAACGGG